UUCCCAAACGCAACGUUCGGUAACCGAGAACAGUAGUUCCUGGGUUUCUAGAGCUAGCUGGUAUAAGACUGAAAUUAGCUGGAACUGCUGUUCCACCUUUUUCCUGGAACAAGCUUGUUCCCGAAUAAGAACAAGGUUAAUUAAAUAUAAAUUUAAAUUUUAAUGAUAGUAAAUUAUUAAUUAAUCUAAUUAAUAUAUUUGAAUUAUUAUCUAUUGCUUAAAUAAUAAAAUAAUUAAUUAAUUAUUUAUUUAUAAUUAGAUAAGAAUAAUUAUUAAUUUAAUAAUUAUUAUUUAUUAAUAAUUAUUAAUUAAAUAAU
RNAcentral lists this long non-coding RNA (317 nucleotides) under Ananas comosus (pineapple). RNAcentral's name for it is "long non-coding RNA (ACOM_LNC039972)". Lineage: Eukaryota; Viridiplantae; Streptophyta; Magnoliopsida; Poales; Bromeliaceae. The record is from RNAcentral.